CCUACGGGAGGCAGCAGUGGGGAAUAUUGGACAAUGGGCGCAAGCCUGAUCCAGCCAUGCCGCGUGUGUGAAGAAGGUCUUCGGAUUGUAAAGCACUUUAAGUUGGGAGGAAGGGCAGUUACCUAAUACGUAUCUGUUUUGACGCUACCGACAGAAUAAGCACCGGCUAACUCUGUGCCAGCAGCCGCGGUAAU
This 194-nucleotide ribosomal RNA is filed under the name uncultured bacterium. RNAcentral's name for it is "partial 16S ribosomal RNA". It matches the Rfam family "Bacterial small subunit ribosomal RNA", at positions 338 to 524 of the family's 1533-position model. The record is from RNAcentral.